GCUUAUGAGAAGCCUUUGUGGCCCCGCAAGGGGUACCUGACGCGACUUGAAAAAAAAUAAGAAUUCAGGUAUUAAAUCGCAAGUCGGCUGCGGCUGGCAACACUUUCGAAUUGCGGGGACACCCUAAAGCCGGUUCUACCAACCAAGCAAGGAAACUUAGCUCGGGGCUCAUGUUAAUCGCAUGAGGUACGGUAAGAAGGAACCUGGAUACAUGGGCAAUCCGCAGCCAAAUCCCUAAGGCAUCCGCUACGGGAGAGGUUCACAGACUAAGUGGAAGUGGGCUGAAGGUUCAGCUUAAGAUAUAGUCGGGCCCUGCGAGAAAUCGUGGGGAAGUCACUCGAACAAACCGU
This 350-nucleotide non-coding RNA is filed under the name Orbilia pseudobrevistipitata. Its description in RNAcentral is "Brachyphoris brevistipitata partial 18S ribosomal RNA". The stretch from base 38 to 329 matches the Rfam family "Group I catalytic intron". Rfam says of the family: Group I catalytic introns are large self-splicing ribozymes. They catalyse their own excision from mRNA, tRNA and rRNA precursors in a wide range of organisms. The record is from RNAcentral. Lineage: Eukaryota; Fungi; Ascomycota; Orbiliomycetes; Orbiliales; Orbiliaceae.